GGAAGAGUGGCAGAGCGGUUGAAUGCACCGGUCUUGAAAACCGGCGAUGGGAAACCAUCCGUGGGUUCGAAUCCCACCUCUUCCGCCA
This 88-nucleotide transfer RNA is filed under the name Accumulibacter sp. RNAcentral describes it as "tRNA-Ser". It matches the Rfam family "tRNA". From Rfam's summary of the family: Transfer RNA (tRNA) molecules are approximately 80 nucleotides in length. The record is from RNAcentral. Lineage: Bacteria; Pseudomonadati; Pseudomonadota; Betaproteobacteria.